Molecule: long non-coding RNA, 82 nt
Organism: Haliotis rubra (blacklip abalone)
Lineage: Eukaryota; Metazoa; Mollusca; Gastropoda; Lepetellida; Haliotidae
Exons: 3
Source: RefSeq, a predicted model, not a curated record
AUUACCCUUCUUAUAAGUACUUUUGCUAGAUUGAGUCCCAUCCGGGAUUCGAACCCACAAUCUCAGAGUCAGGCUCCUAAUC